RNAcentral lists this ribosomal RNA (305 nucleotides) under uncultured bacterium. Its description in RNAcentral is "bacterial SSU rRNA". It matches the Rfam family "Bacterial small subunit ribosomal RNA", at positions 338 to 640 of the family's 1533-position model. The record is from RNAcentral.
CCUACGGGAGGCAGCAGUGAGGAAUAUUGGUCAAUGGCCGAAGGGCUGAACCAGCCAAGCCGCGUGAAGGAAUAAGGCCCUACGGGUCGUAAACUUCUUUAGUCAGGGAACAAAGGGAGCCACGCGUGGCGCUGUGAGUGUACCUGAAGAAUAAGCAUCGGCUAACUCCGUGCCAGCAGCCGCGGUAAUACGUAGGUGGCGAGCGUUAUCCGGAAUGAUUGGGCGUAAAGGGUGCGCAGGCGGUCCUGCAAGUCUGGAGUGAAACGCAUGAGCUCAACUCAUGCAUGGCUUUGGAAACUGGAGGA